GACAGAGGUGCCGAGCGUUAGGCGGAAUCACUGGGCUUAAAGCGUGUGUAGGUGGAUGCCUAAGUACCUUGUGAAAUCCCACGGCUUAACCGUGGAACUGCUUGGUAUACUGGGUGUCUUGAGCCAGCUAGGGGCUACCGGAACAAAUGGUGGAGCGGUGAAAUGCGUAGAUAUCAUUUGGAACGCCAAUGGUGAAAACAGGUAGCUGGGGCCGUGCUGACACUGAGACACGAAAGCCAGGGGAGCGAACGGG
Molecule: ribosomal RNA, 253 nt
Filed under: uncultured bacterium
Lineage: Bacteria
Description: partial 16S ribosomal RNA
Rfam family: Bacterial small subunit ribosomal RNA
Source: RNAcentral